AUAAUCAAGGACCUGGGAACUCCAACAAGGGAGCAAAUUAGAGAAGUGAACCCAAACUACACAGAAUUUAAAUUCCCUCAAAUUAAGACACAUCCUUGGACUAUAGUCUUCUGACCCUGAACUCCACUGGAAGCAAUUGCACUGUGUAGCCGUCUGCUGGAGUAUACAUCAACUCUCGACUGGCACCACUGGAAGUUUGUGCACAUUCGUUUUUUCAUGAAUUACAGGAUCCAAAUGUCAAACUACCAAAUGGGUGAGACACACCUCCACUGUUCAACUUCACCACUCAAGAACUGCCAACUAAUCUACCUCUGGCUACCAUCCUUAUGCCUCCUCAUGCUUGGAUUCAAGCAGCUGUUUCAAUCCCCACAAAUGCCACAGCAGCCACCGAUGCUAGUGCUGGAGACCGUGAACAGACCAAUAAUGCUGUUUCUGCAUCAUCUUCCAACUUUA
RNAcentral lists this long non-coding RNA (453 nucleotides) under Homo sapiens (human). RNAcentral's name for it is "non-protein coding lnc-MALRD1-7:1". The record is from RNAcentral. Lineage: Eukaryota; Metazoa; Chordata; Mammalia; Primates; Hominidae.